UACGGAAGGCAGCAGUGGGGAAUAUUGCACAAUGGGCGCAAGCCUGAUGCAGCCAUGCCGCGUGUAUGAAAAAGGCCUUCGGGUUGUAAAGUACUUUCAGUCGUGAGGAAGGUGUUAAGGUUAAUAACCUUAGCAAUUGACGUUAGCGACAGAAGAAGCACCGGCUAACUCCGUGCCAGCAGCCGCGGUAAUACGGAGGGUGCGAGCGUUAAUCGGAAUUACUGGGCGUAAAGGGCACGCAGGCGGUUAAUUAAGUUGGAUGUGAAAUCCCCGGGCUUAACCUGGGAAUGGCAUUCAAGACUGGUUAGCUAGAGUCUUGUAGAGGGGGUAGAAUUCCAUGUGUAGCGGUGAAAUGCGUAGAGAUGUGGAGGAAUACCGGUGGCGAAGGCGGCCCCUGGGACAAAGGACUGACGCUCAUGUGCGAAAGCGUGGGGAGCAAAC
RNAcentral lists this ribosomal RNA (441 nucleotides) under uncultured bacterium. RNAcentral describes it as "bacterial SSU rRNA". It matches the Rfam family "Bacterial small subunit ribosomal RNA", at positions 340 to 773 of the family's 1533-position model. The record is from RNAcentral.